AAACCAUGAUGAGGACACUCAAAGAGAAGAUCCUUAAAACAUUCCAUACACCCAAAAAAUGUUUCAUUGGGUAUUUGAUGAAACUGAAGAAUGUCGUUCCUAAAUUU
Small nucleolar RNA from Cephalotus follicularis, 107 nucleotides. It matches the Rfam family "Plant small nucleolar RNA R71". From Rfam's summary of the family: R71 is a member of the C/D box family of snoRNAs containing the C (UGAUGA) and D (CUGA) box motifs. Multiple nearly identical copies of this snoRNA have been identified in Arabidopsis, and it is thought to function as a 2'-O-ribose methylation guide for 18S ribosomal RNA. The record is from Rfam. NCBI's taxonomy places the organism in Eukaryota, Viridiplantae, Streptophyta, Magnoliopsida, Oxalidales, Cephalotaceae.